UGGCAGUGCACUACUAGCUGGC
This 22-nucleotide microRNA is filed under the name Anolis carolinensis (green anole). RNAcentral's name for it is "aca-miR-449b". Its record names the gene aca-miR-449b. Lineage: Eukaryota; Metazoa; Chordata; Lepidosauria; Squamata; Anolidae. The record is from miRBase by way of RNAcentral.